UUCCGUCCAUGGUUCCGUCUCGCGCAUCGUUUUGCUUCGGGUUCCGAGUUGAUUGACAUGUUUUCUCAGGUGUGCAACGGGCUUUGAGUGAGAAGCAGUUUGAAUAAUCUGGACCAAGUUUGGGAUGGCUGAGAGCACACCCACAAUGGAUAACUCUGAUGAGGACCUCUAUAAUGUACCGGAUUACUUAACUCCUACUGUGAGGAAGGAGGGAACAGUCCCCCCACACCACAGUCGACUAUGUUCCUCCACCAGGAAAAGUAACAGUUCUCAGUGCUGGCCAGGAGACUGUUUCUCUUGGCUUUUCACUCCCUGAUAACUCUGUAAGGUAUACACUGCAAAUAGAUUACUCCUGCAACACACAGAGAGACAGUUGGUCACAGAGGACUCCAGCACUGUGAAUG
This is a long non-coding RNA of Etheostoma spectabile (orangethroat darter), 404 nucleotides long. RefSeq lists it as uncharacterized. The record is from RefSeq and is a predicted model, not a curated record. The transcript is spliced from 4 exons. NCBI's taxonomy places the organism in Eukaryota, Metazoa, Chordata, Actinopteri, Perciformes, Percidae.